RNAcentral lists this ribosomal RNA (748 nucleotides) under Rummeliibacillus sp. J3Ba-35. RNAcentral's name for it is "bacterial SSU rRNA". It matches the Rfam family "Bacterial small subunit ribosomal RNA", at positions 30 to 763 of the family's 1533-position model. Lineage: Bacteria; Bacillati; Bacillota; Bacilli; Caryophanales; Caryophanaceae. The record is from RNAcentral.
UUGGCGCUGGUCGGCGUGCCUAUACAUGCAAGUCGAGCGCAUGACGAGGAGCUUGCUCCUCUGAUUGAGCGGCGGACGGGUGAGUAACACGUGGGCAACCUGCCCUGUAGACGGGGAUAACUUCGGGAAACCGGAGCUAAUACCGGAUAAUCCUCUUCCCCACAUGGGGAAGAGUUGAAAGGCGCUUUCGCGUCACUACAGGAUGGGCCCGCGGUGCAUUAGCUAGUUGGUGGGGUAACGGCCUACCAAGGCGACGAUGCAUAGCCGACCUGAGAGGGUGAUCGGCCACAUUGGGACUGAGACACGGCCCAAACUCCUACGGGAGGCAGCAGUAGGGAAUCUUCCACAAUGGACGAAAGUCUGAUGGAGCAACGCCGCGUGAGUGAUGAAGGUUUUCGGAUCGUAAAACUCUGUUGUAAGGGAAGAACCAGUACGUCAGGCAAUGGACGUACCUUGACGGUACCUUAUUAGAAAGCCACGGCUAACUACGUGCCAGCAGCCGCGGUAAUACGUAGGUGGCAAGCGUUGUCCGGAAUUAUUGGGCGUAAAGCGCGCGCAGGUGGUUUCUUAAGUCUGAUGUGAAAGCCCACGGCUUAACCGUGGAGGGUCAUUGGAAACUGGGAGACUUGAGUGCAGAAGAGGAAAGUGGAAUUCCAAGUGUAGCGGUGAAAUGCGUAGAGAUUUGGAGGAACACCAGUGGCGAAGGCGACUUUCUGGUCUGCAACUGACGCUGAGGCGCGAAAGCAUG